AUUGAACGCUGGCGGCAUGCCUUACACAUGCAAGUCGAACGGCAGCACGGGUGCUUGCACCUGGUGGCGAGUGGCGAACGGGUGAGUAAUACAUCGGAACAUGUCCUGUAGUGGGGGAUAGCCCUGCGAAAGCCGGAUUAAUACCGCAUACGAUCUACGGAUGAAAGCGGGGGACCUUCGGGCCUCGCGCUAUCGGGUUGGCCGAUGGCUGAUUAGCUAGUUGGUGGGGUAAAGGCCUACCAAGGCGACGCUCAGUAGCUGGUCUGAGAGGACGACCAGCCACACUGGGACUGAGACACGGCCCAGACUCCUACGGGAGGCAGCAGUGGGGAAUUUUGGACAAUGGGCGAAAGCCUGAUCCAGCAAUGCCGCGUGUGUGAAGAAGGCCUUCGGGUUGUAAAGCACUUUUGUCCGGAAAGAAAUCCUUGGCCCUAAUACGGUCGGGGGAUGACGGUACCGGAAGAAUAAGCACCGGCUAACUACGUG
Molecule: ribosomal RNA, 486 nt
Filed under: uncultured bacterium
Lineage: Bacteria
Description: partial 16S ribosomal RNA
Rfam family: Bacterial small subunit ribosomal RNA
Source: RNAcentral